GCUUGCCAGGCAGGCACUUAUACCACUGAGCUAUAUCUCCAGUGCGCUAUGCCAGUCGGGUGUCCACACUUAAGUUCGGCAUCAAUAUGGUGACCUCCCGGGAGUGGGGGACCACCAAGUUGCCUAAGGAGGGGUGAACCAGCUCAGGUCGGAAACGGAGCAGGUCAAAACUCCCGUGCUGAGCAGUUCCUGGAGUUCUGAUGCACAUGCCUUCCCCAUUAGGUACU
RNAcentral lists this small RNA (227 nucleotides) under Chinchilla lanigera (long-tailed chinchilla). RNAcentral describes it as "Metazoan signal recognition particle RNA (ENSCLAG00000021699.1)". The stretch from base 72 to 187 matches the Rfam family "Metazoan signal recognition particle RNA", at positions 117 to 232 of the family's 299-position model. From Rfam's summary of the family: The signal recognition particle (SRP) is a universally conserved ribonucleoprotein. It is involved in the co-translational targeting of proteins to membranes. The record is from RNAcentral. Lineage: Eukaryota; Metazoa; Chordata; Mammalia; Rodentia; Chinchillidae.